Molecule: ribosomal RNA, 450 nt
Filed under: uncultured bacterium
Lineage: Bacteria
Description: partial 16S ribosomal RNA
Rfam family: Bacterial small subunit ribosomal RNA
Source: RNAcentral
GUGGGGAAUUUUGGACAAUGGGCGCAAGCCUGAUCCAGCAAUGCCGCGUGCAGGAAGAAGGCCUUCGGGUUGUAAACUGCUUUUGUACGGAACGAAACGGUCCUGGCUAAUAUCCGGGGCUAAUGACGGUACCGUAAGAAUAAGCACCGGCUAACUACGUGCCAGCAGCCGCGGUAAUACGUAGGGUGCGAGCGUUAAUCGGAAUUACUGGGCGUAAAGCGUGCGCAGGCGGUGCUGUAAGACAGGCGUGAAAUCCCCGGGCUCAACCUGGGAAUUGCGCUUGUGACUGCAAGGCUGGAGUGCGGCAGAGGGGGAUGGAAUUCCGCGUGUAGCAGUGAAAUGCGUAGAUAUGCGGAGGAACACCGAUGGCGAAGGCAAUCCCCUGGGCCUGCACUGACGCUCAUGCACGAAAGCGUGGGGAGCAAACAGGAUUAGAAACCCUUGUAGUCC